This 327-nucleotide ribosomal RNA is filed under the name uncultured eukaryote. Its description in RNAcentral is "partial 18S ribosomal RNA". It matches the Rfam family "Eukaryotic small subunit ribosomal RNA", at positions 1470 to 1796 of the family's 1831-position model. The record is from RNAcentral.
CCCUUAGAUGUUCUGGGCCGCACGCGCGCUACACUGAUACAUGCAACGAGUUUAUAACCUUGAUCUGACGGUCUGGGUAAUCUUCAAACUGUAUCGUGUUAGGGAUCGAUUCUUGCAAUUUUUAAUCGUAAACGAGGAAUUCCUAGUAAACGCAAGUCAUCAGCUUGCAUUGAUUACGUCCCUGCCCUUUGUACACACCGCCCGUCGCUCCUACCGAUUGAAUGGUCCGGUGAAGCGUUCGGACCGUGGCCUUUGGACGGUUCGCCGUCUGUUGGCUGCGGGAAGUUCGUUAAACCUUAUCAUUUAGAGGAAGGAGAAGUCGUAACA